GACGAACGCUGGCGGCGUGCUUAACACAUGCAAGUCGAACGGAAAGGCCCUGCUUUUGUGGGGUGCUCGAGUGGCGAACGGGUGAGUAACACGUGAGUAACCUGCCCUUCACUUUGGGAUAACUUCAGGAAACUGGGGCUCAUACCGGAUAGGAGCUCCUGCUGCUUGGUGGGGGUUGGUAAGUUUCGGCGGUUGGGGAUGGACUCGCGGCUUAUCAGCUUGUUGGUGGGGUAGUGGCUUACCAAGGCUUUGACGGGUAGCCGGCCUGAGAGGGGGACCGGCCACAUUAGGACUGAGAUACGGCCCAGACUCCUACGGGAGGGAGCAGAGGGGAAGAUUGCACAAGGGGCGGAAGCAAGAUGCAGCAACGCCGCGUGCGGGAUGACGGCCUGCGGGUUGGAAACCGAUGUCGUCUGUGACGAAGCGUGAGUGACGGUAAUGGGUAAAGAAGCACCGGCUAACUACGUG
Molecule: ribosomal RNA, 468 nt
Filed under: uncultured bacterium
Lineage: Bacteria
Description: partial 16S ribosomal RNA
Rfam family: Bacterial small subunit ribosomal RNA
Source: RNAcentral